RNAcentral lists this ribosomal RNA (997 nucleotides) under Faecalibacterium prausnitzii. RNAcentral describes it as "bacterial SSU rRNA". It matches the Rfam family "Bacterial small subunit ribosomal RNA", at positions 330 to 1352 of the family's 1533-position model. Lineage: Bacteria; Bacillati; Bacillota; Clostridia; Eubacteriales; Oscillospiraceae. The record is from RNAcentral.
CCCAGACUCCUACGGGAGGCAGCAGUGGGGAAUAUUGCACAAUGGGGGAAACCCUGAUGCAGCGACGCCGCGUGGAGGAAGAAGGUCUUCGGAUUGUAAACUCCUGUUGUUGAGGAAGAUAAUGACGGUACUCAACAAGGAAGUGACGGCUAACUACGUGCCAGCAGCCGCGGUAAAACGUAGGUCACAAGCGUUGUCCGGAAUUACUGGGUGUAAAGGGAGCGCAGGCGGGAAGACAAGUUGGAAGUGAAAUCUAUGGGCUCAACCCAUAAACUGCUUUCAAAACUGUUUUUCUUGAGUAGUGCAGAGGUAGGCGGAAUUCCCGGUGUAGCGGUGGAAUGCGUAGAUAUCGGGAGGAACACCAGUGGCGAAGGCGGCCUACUGGGCACCAACUGACGCUGAGGCUCGAAAGUGUGGGUAGCAAACAGGAUUAGAUACCCUGGUAGUCCACACCGUAAACGAUGAUUACUAGGUGUUGGAGGAUUGACCCCUUCAGUGCCGCAGUUAACACAAUAAGUAAUCCACCUGGGGAGUACGACCGCAAGGUUGAAACUCAAAGGAAUUGACGGGGGCCCGCACAAGCAGUGGAGUAUGUGGUUUAAUUCGACGCAACGCGAAGAACCUUACCAAGUCUUGACAUCCUGCGACGAUGCUGGAAACAGUAUUUUCCUUCGGGACGCAGAGACAGGUGGUGCAUGGUUGUCGUCAGCUCGUGUCGUGAGAUGUUGGGUUAAGUCCCGCAACGAGCGCAACCCUUACUGUCAGUUACUACGCAAGAGGACUCUGGCAGGACUGCCGUUGACAAAACGGAGGAAGGUGGGGAUGACGUCAAAUCAUCAUGCCCUUUAUGACUUGGGCUACACACGUACUACAAUGGCGUUAAACAAAGAGAAGCAAGACCGCGAGGUGGAGCAAAACUCAGAAACAACGUCCCAGUUCGGACUGCAGGCUGCAACUCGCCUGCACGAAGUCGGAAUUGCUAGUAAUCGUGGAUCAG